This 332-nucleotide unclassified non-coding RNA is filed under the name rhizosphere metagenome. Its description in RNAcentral is "partial ribosomal RNA internal transcribed spacer region". The record is from RNAcentral.
GUAGGUGAACCUGCGGAAGGAUCAUUCACACUGGCGCAAUUGGCAACAAUUGCAACAAAAAAAUACCAAAAAAACAAAACCAAAACGAGCUAUGUACAACCAGCCUUUUCUGUUUGCUCAGAACUGUGAAAUUUUGACACUUCGGGAAGGACGCGACAGUCUGUGGCCGUGGUCAUGAAGAACCGCCAGGAGUCUAUGCUACGGAAGCAGCUUUGGCACAAUACCCCUCAACCCCGUCUUGCCUCCGGGCAUGUCAUUCUGUCUAAGCCUUCGGGCACUACGAAAACAAAAUAAGUUGAAUACAACUCUUUGCAAUGGAUAUCUAGGUUCUC